Lampris incognitus (smalleye Pacific opah) is the source of this 3665-nucleotide RNA transcript. It is a transcript of the gene named NF2, moesin-ezrin-radixin like (MERLIN) tumor suppressor a, with no coding region annotated. NCBI's taxonomy places the organism in Eukaryota, Metazoa, Chordata, Actinopteri, Lampriformes, Lampridae. The record is from RefSeq and is a predicted model, not a curated record. The transcript has 18 exons.
CUGCCCUCGGGCUUGGACCUGAAGAAAUUUGCGAUUACAUCUCUCAGAAGGAAUUCACCUGAUUCGCAACUCUACAGUGCACACUGUGAAUCAUCAACUCCAGUAGACAAAAGCUUUUCAGGACAGUCGUCAUGGCAAGUGCCUUAGCAGCAAAAAUUGGUCUCAAUUCACUGAGAAAAAGGCAAGCCAAAAACUUCAACGUCAGGAUCAGCACAAUGGAAUCAGAGUUGGAGUUCAGUUGUGAGGUCAAAUGGAAAGGAAAAGACCUAUUUGACUUGGUGUGUCGGACUCUGGGACUGAGGGAGACAUGGUUCUUUGGGCUUCGGUAUGACAUCAAGGACACAGUAGCUUGGCUGAAGAUGGACAAGAAGGUUUUAGAUCAGGAGGUACCCAAGGAGGAGCCGAUCACCCUUCACUUCUUGGCGAAGUUCUACCCUGAAAAUGCUGAGGAGGAGUUAGUUCAAGACAUCACUCAGCAUCUCUUCUUCCUACAGGUGAAGAAGAAGAUUUUGGAAGAAGACAUCCAUUGUCCACCUGAGGCCUCUGUACUGCUGGCCUCUUAUGCGGUCCAUGCUAAGUAUGGCGACUAUGACUCUAAUGUUCACAAGCCUGGCUUCCUGGCUCAAGAGGAGCUGCUGCCCAAGAGGGUGAUUAAUUUGUACCAGAUGACUGUGGAGAUGUGGGAGGAGAGGAUUACUGCCUGUUACGCCGAACACCGGGGUAGGACGAGGGAUGAAGCAGAGAUGGAGUACCUAAAAAUAGCUCAGGACCUGGACAUGUAUGGUGUCAAUUACUUUUUCAUCAGGAAUAAAAAGGGAACAGAUCUUCUUCUGGGAGUGGAUGCCCUGGGCUUGCACAUCUACGAGCCAGAAAACAAGCUAACACCCAAGUGCUCCUUCCCCUGGAACGAGAUCCGCAACAUCUCUUACAGCGACAAGGAGUUCACUAUCAAACCUGUUGACAAGAAAACUGACGUUUUUAAGUUCAACUCCUCCAGGCUGAGGGUCAACAAGCUGAUCCUGCAGCUUUGCAUAGGGAACCAUGACCUGUUCAUGCGUCGGCGGCGUGUGGACACUCUGGAGGUGCAGCAGAUGAAGGCCCAGGCCAGAGAGGAGAGAGCCAGGAAACAGGUGGAGAGGCAGCGUUUGGAGCGGGAGAAGCAGAGAAGGGAGGAGGCGGAGAGGGCCAGAGAUGAGCUGGAGAGGAGGCUAAUUCAGCUGCAGGACGAGGCCCACAUGGCCAAUGAAGCCCUGCUGCGUUCGGAGCAGACGGCGGACCUGCUGGCAGAGAAGGCCCAGAUCGCGGAGGAGGAGGCCAAGCUGCUGGCCCAGAAAGCCGCCGAGGCUGAGACGGAGAUGCAGCGCAUCAAGGUAACGGCCAUCCGUGGCCAGGAGGAGCGUCGGCUCAUGGAGCAGAAGAUGCUGGAGGCAGAGAUGCUGGCCCUCAAGAUGGCCGAGGAGUCGGAGAGGAGGGCGAAGGAAGCGGAGCAGCUGAAGCAAGACUUGCAGGAAGCCAGGGAGUCGGAGCGUAGAGCCAAGCACAAGCUGCUGGAGAUCACCAGCAAGCCUGUCUAUCCGCCACCUGCACUUCCAGCCGACCUGAGCUUCAGCAGGGAGAACCUCAGCUUCGACUUCAAGGACACAGAUAUGAAGCGUCUCUCCAUGGAGAUCGAGAAGGAGAAGGUCGAAUACAUGGAGAAGAGCAAACACCUGCAGGAGCAGCUGAAUGAGCUGAAGACGGAGAUCGAGAGUUUGAAGCUAAAAGAGAGGGAGACGCCCCUGGACAUCCUCCACAACCAGAACACGGAGCAGGGCACUAGCAAACACAGCAACUUCAAAAAGCUGACGCUACAGAGCACCAAGUCCAGAGUGGCCUUCUUCGAGGAACUUUAAAACCACCUGGAUAGAUAGGGGCGCCGACCCCAAAAACCUCUUGUCUUAACAUUCCCGUUGCACUUGGCCAAUUACCCCACUCUUCCGAGCCAUCCCAGUCGCUGCUCCACCACCUCUUCCGAUCCGGGGAGAGCUGCAGACUACCACAUGCCUCCUUCCAUACAUGUGGAGUCGCCAGCCGCUUCUUUUCACCUGACAGUGAGGAGUUUCGCCAGGGGGACACAGCGCAUGGGGGGAUCACGCUAUUCCCCCCAGUUCCCCCUCCUCCCCGAACAGGUGCCCCGACCAACAAGAGGAGGCGCUAGUGCAGCGACCAGGACACCAACCCACAUCCGCCUUCCCACCAGCAGACACGGCCAAUUGUGUUUGGAGGGACGCCCAACCAAGCCGGAGGUAACGCGGGGAUUCGAACCUCACUCUGCAUGUAAAAGAGGGAAUGAUUGUUUGGGCAAAUUGAGAGAUAUUUGUAUUUAAAAGAAAGCAGAUAAGUGGGUUGCAGCACAAGAGCAGCUAACCUAAGAGAUUCUUAGGUUUGCCUAAAGUGGCGGGUGUGGAUUUUCACGGACUCGAGUUUCUUUGCACUGAAGGUGAUGAGCUGCAAAGUCCACAUGUUUCCUCACCAAGUCGACGAGGCCAGAGUUCAAGUGGCUGCUUCGGGUUCAGCUGGUGGCUAUAAAAUCACUUCCUUCGAGGGGCAAGGGUGUAGUGUUCUCUUUCAAAAUGGCCGUACAGGGUAACCUCAUCAAUGUUGAAUUCAUGAGCAGCUCUGAUAGUUGUCACCAUCACUGUCACAUACAAGCAUCCAGUUAAAGGGUCUUUAUCUGAAAAUCUUCAUUUAAUAUCCAUUUUUACUGCAGUCAGCCACCUUGUCCACACUAUACUUUGUCUGAUCAAUUCUACAACGGGCUAAGGUUUUUAUUUUGUUUUGUUUUAUUCAUCUACAUGUCCUCUUUUUUUUUUAUCUUCGACCCGCCAAACACUCUUUCUACUACCUUUUCAGAACAAAAUCAGUCCAGCGAAAAGUCAAAUCAUAAAAAAAGCAUAUAUCGCAUUUCGGCUACCUUUCUGCACUCGAGACUUGCUUUCUGGUGAACACACAGAGUUUUAUUCCAGAGGCUUCUGGACUUUUAAAGUUUACAUCAUGUAGCCCGAGACGUUGUGUUCUUCAUCUGCCUUGAACUGUCAGCGUGAAGAGGGUGUUUUUUUCUGAGCGAGGCGCCGAGUGGGCCUCCGUCUGCAGCGCUGCCCGCGAGGGUGAGGAGCUGACCUGUGAUCUUCUGGACGGGCUGCUUGUCUGAAGACCAAAUGAAGGAAGCGAUGUUGUACUGGAGCCUGCAACGUUAAUCUGCCGUACUGUGCAGAUUGGUUUUCUGCUCUCCCCUUUUUUUUCUUUUUUUUUUUUUAAUCAAAUGAGGGUGAUGUUUUUUUUUAUAUGAAGACAGCCACUUAUGGGAAACAUGAGUUUGCAUCUAUUUUGAAUUCAUCCGUCAGUUUGAAUUAAUGUGCUCUUUUUUCCCCCCGUGAAAGCAAUUUAUUUUGGAAUACUAAUGUGUGGAAUAUAUAUAUAUAUAUAUAUAUAUAUAUAUAUAUAUAUUUAAAUAUAAAUAAUUUUUCCCUGGUCUGCAUUGAAUGUGGAUAGUAAGCUGUAUUUUAUAUUUUAUUUUUAAUAAACUUUGGGGGACGUUACAUUUUUCUGAAACUGCGUUUUUACGAAAGCGAAGGCAAAACUGAAGUGUUUGUUUUUGUGUGUGUGUGUGUGUGUAAAAUAAAUGC